RNAcentral lists this non-coding RNA (30 nucleotides) under Mus musculus (house mouse). Lineage: Eukaryota; Metazoa; Chordata; Mammalia; Rodentia; Muridae. The record is from RNAcentral.
UGGAGAAUUCUUACAGUGUACUUUCCUCCC